This 951-nucleotide long non-coding RNA is filed under the name Mus musculus (house mouse). RNAcentral's name for it is "long non-coding RNA chr2:169461841-169462792". The record is from RNAcentral. Lineage: Eukaryota; Metazoa; Chordata; Mammalia; Rodentia; Muridae.
CGAGUUAGACCGUAACAAAACAGCUCUGGAGGGAUUCUGUCAGUGUGUUGUCAUGGUUACCAGCCUAGACAACAUCUACACAGUGAAAUGUUUUAAGUCCAAUUGGUUAAGAUGUUGUCUCCGAGGGCUCCAACUCCCCCUCCAUCACCCUUCACCCUUCCUUUGGAAUUAGGUGCUGUUUGAAUGACUCCUGGCGUUUUGAAAUCUGGUUUACAGAAAGGUGAGUCGAGGGUGAGGGUAGAUGGGGGUUAAUAUGAUGAAUUGAUGUGGUCCUCUGUCAUUGGCACUUACGGUUAAGGUCCCAUUAGCAUCAUCUCUGUAUAGGAAUGAUGUCUGGGAAGAUGCUACUCCCACUGUGUGUGCAGAUGAAGCAUCGCCAUGGUAGGAACCCCCGGGGUGAGUGCCAGCACACAAAAUGGAUAACACUGGAGAUGCCCAAUGGUCAUCAGAGAAGCGCUGUAGCUGGGCAUUCAAGAUUCUGAGAGUUUACCUGGCCCCGCGAAGAAGAGGAAGGCUUGAUUCUCUUAAGCACCCAGGAAAAUUGUGUGUUCAACAUUCAACAGUGUCCUUGUUAAUGCCUCGUAUACAUUAUAAGUAUACCCUGUAUCUAAACAGUCACAAUUCUGUGUUUGAAUAUCUUACCAAUCUGUCACUGAAAUUUGUAGUAUGAUACAUGAACAUAACAUAAAACUCACAAUAUGUUUUUUAGUGUGUUAGUGGCAAGUAAGUAGCUGGGAGCCUUAAUUCAAAGAAUGGCUAAAGCUCAAUCACCGAGUGAGAGAGCUUGAAGUCACCUCCAAAUCCUACAGCCCAAGCAUGAAGCUUAAUAGAGUGUUCCCCAAAUCCUACAAAUAUUCUGAAAUGUAAAUGCUGUAGUCAAUAGUGCAUUUUAGACAUCGUAUGAGUAUUUGUAAAUUGUCAAUAAAUAGUUUUAAAAGUUUUGACCAAUCA